GCCCCCGUGGCGGAAUGGUAGACGCGGCAGACUCAAAAUCUGUUGCCAGAGAUGGUGUGCUGGUUCGAGUCCGGCCGGGGGCACCA
RNAcentral lists this transfer RNA (86 nucleotides) under Alphaproteobacteria bacterium. Its description in RNAcentral is "tRNA-Leu". It matches the Rfam family "tRNA". Rfam says of the family: Transfer RNA (tRNA) molecules are approximately 80 nucleotides in length. The record is from RNAcentral. Lineage: Bacteria; Pseudomonadati; Pseudomonadota; Alphaproteobacteria.